Molecule: long non-coding RNA, 1006 nt
Organism: Vicia villosa (hairy vetch)
Lineage: Eukaryota; Viridiplantae; Streptophyta; Magnoliopsida; Fabales; Fabaceae
Exons: 2
Source: RefSeq, a predicted model, not a curated record
CGAACCGGGUCAGAACUAGAUCCGUAACCUUCAUAACAUCACAAAAUUGAAUUCGUAAAAGGAGCCCUAGAUUCAAGUUCUGCAGAUGUUACGAACUCACCAUCUCCCUCGCGAUAUCUCUGCUUCCCUACUCAUCUCUCACGAUUUCUCACAAUCGCUCUCUUCUCACGAUUUGUGAACAACAAGAUUAAUACGAAAGAAAAGCUCUCGAUUUCAUCUCUCUCUCGGUUAGUUUUCUCGAUCUCGUCUCUCACUCUAUUAGCGCAAACAACAGCAACAACGAAAUAGCAAAGCAACAAUCAAAGCAAUAAAACCCUUAUCCCAGAGUUAAACCCCAAUUUCCCAUGAUUCCAUUAUUUCAGUAUGGUUACAAAUGGAAAGGGUGAUGAAAUCGAAUAAGAAAUUAACCUGAAGCAAUCAAAAGAGCAGCGUGGCAAGGACAUAACAACAGACUUGUUUUUGUUGUUUUUUUUUUAUGGGCAGCAAAGUCUUGGGUAGGUCAUGAACCUUGGGCCUUGCAAAUUUGUUUGAGACUAUUUGUUGCUGUUUAUUUGGAAUCUCUUCUUCGCUAAUUCCCUUUGUGAAUCAAAACAAGUUUUGUGAUUUGCAAUAGGAAUCUUUUAGGCCCAUGAUUAAUUAUAAAAUUGUAUGAGGCCUUUUGUUGAUUGAAAACAAAUCCCUUGACAAAAUUCUGAUUCCUUCAUCAAACCCUAAUGAUGAACUUGUGCAUCCUCUUGGAAAUUCUUAUUCAUGUUCAUAUUUUUGUGGAUUCUAACCAUUUCUUUCUCUUGUUUCAUGUGCAAUGGCAUUGGUGGUAAAGCAAUAAGAAGUUUGAAUGAAGAUUGAAAAUUGGGAACUUCAAAAGAAGAAGAUUGGAGACAAAAAUAGAAUUUAGCUUUGUGUAACUUUCAUGUUUGUAAUAAUUUGUUUUUGUAAUGAAAUUUGAACCAUAAAUGUAGUGAACUUUUGAAUGAAUGAAGAAUGUUGAAUGAUCUUUGUACUUGAA